AAAGCUGCUCUACUGGAUUGAAAUCUGGUGACUGUGGAAACCAUUGGAGUCCAAUGAACUCAUUGUCAUGUUCUAGAAAGCAGGUGGAGAUGAUCUGAGCUUUGUGACUUUGUGCUUUAUCCUGCUGGUAGUUGACAUCAGAAGAUGCUACACUGUGGUCAUAAAGGG
Molecule: long non-coding RNA, 168 nt
Organism: Melanotaenia boesemani (Boeseman's rainbowfish)
Lineage: Eukaryota; Metazoa; Chordata; Actinopteri; Atheriniformes; Melanotaeniidae
Exons: 3
Source: RefSeq, a predicted model, not a curated record